Molecule: transfer RNA, 72 nt
Filed under: Camelus bactrianus (Bactrian camel)
Lineage: Eukaryota; Metazoa; Chordata; Mammalia; Artiodactyla; Camelidae
Also listed under: 2 other names
Rfam family: tRNA
About the family: Transfer RNA (tRNA) molecules are approximately 80 nucleotides in length. Their secondary structure includes four short double-helical elements and three loops (D, anti-codon, and T loops). Further hydrogen bonds mediate the characteristic L-shaped molecular structure. tRNAs have two regions of fundamental functional importance: the anti-codon, which is responsible for specific mRNA codon recognition, and the 3' end, to which the tRNAs corresponding amino acid is attached (by aminoacyl-tRNA synthetases). tRNAs cope with the degeneracy of the genetic code in two manners: having more than one tRNA (with a specific anti-codon) for a particular amino acid; and 'wobble' base-pairing, i.e. permitting non-standard base-pairing at the 3rd anti-codon position.
Source: Rfam by way of RNAcentral
GAAGGUAUAGCUCAGUGGUAGAGCUCAUGCUUAGCAUGCAUGAGGUCCUGGGUUCAAUCCCCAGUACCUUAA